AGCACUGUCUCACCCUGCUCCAUGCUAACCUGCUGAACGGCCCCUGGCCUCUUUCCGCCCCGCCCCCGCCUCCGCAAUGCGCCCCCCUUCCCUUCUGCGGUCCCCUGCCUGUCGCCCUCUCACGCUCCAGGUUGUGAGCGAGUAUCUCCCCACUUUAACACCCUACACCACACCGCGCCCGGCCACAAGACAGCUUUACAACAUACACAACCCUGACGAGGAAACGUGUUCAAAACCAAUCACUGCGCUCAUCAUAAAGAUGGCGUCUCACUCUGUAACCCAGGCUGGAGUGCAAUGGUGUGAUAUUGGCUGACUGCAACCUCCGCCUCCUGGGUUCAAGGGAUUCUCCUGCCUCAGCCUCCCAAGUAGCUGGGAUUACAGGUGCCCACCACCACACCUGGCUAAUUUUUGUAUUUUUAGUAGAGACGAGGUUUCACCAUGUUGGCCAGGCUGGUCUCGAACUCCUGACCUCAGGUGAUCCACCCGCCUUGGCCUCCCAAAGUGCUGGGAUUACAGGCGUGAGCCACCGUGCCCGGCCGGCUAACGGUUUAUGAGCACUUACCAGCCACUGUCCUAUGCCCUCUCGUUGAAUGCUCACAAUGACCCAAUGGGAUGACCCUGUCACCAUCGUCCAUCCCAUCUUUCAGAAGUGGACGCUGAGUCAUGCUGAAGUUAUAUAAUGCACUCAGCUCACAUGGCUGGUAGCACUUGAGGCAGGGAUCUGGACACAGACGGCUUGACUCCGGAGCUCCUCUCAACCACAAGCCAAUGUCAACAAGCCUCCACCAUGAAGGUCCUGAAUGAUAUGAAUAAAAUAGCAUUCGCGGCAGAGUGAUCUCCUUGGAUCUCCUGAGUGGCCCAUUUGGCAGUGGGUGAGGAACUUGGGGCUCAGUGAGAUGGAGUGACUUUGACCUGCCUGAUGUUCCACAGCCAGCAGUGUAUUUUCUCCAGGUAAAGAAAGCUUUUCGUGGUUCACUGACUGAGGAAAAUCAACCCCUCCACAAUCUAGAACCUGAAGACUGGAUCUUCUGGGAACAUCAGAAAUAGACUGCCUUUGCCAUCCACACUACAGCAAAACUCUGGGACCUUGAACUUUGGGUUCAUAAUCUCACAACCCAAAAGGUUCCCUCCACACUCCUGGAACUGUACACCCUUUGGAAACUUUAAGGUAACACUAACCAGGGAAGUGUCUCCCCAGAAGAUGACAUUCUUGAUGUGAACAGCUUUUCCCCAAGAUCAUGAAUCAAGAUUCCUCUACUAUCAGGAGACUCUCAAUCUUUCAAAUUUUUCCCCCUUGCUUAUGCCUCCAUGAGCAAUAGAGGUGAAGUCGGGGUCAGUUGUGUGUACUCAUGGGGUAUACUUUUAUUUGUGAAGGAUUUUGCAGCCAGCCUUGUACAUGGAUAACCUUAUGGUUUGACAGAUGGAAGAUGAAGGCCCAAUGUAGGUGAGAAAUUUGAAUGGUAUAUUAUGUUCCCUUAUAAUCAGUCAGAAGGACAACAUGGAUCUACUCCUGUUUACCCACCUCAUGGGUUAAAGAAAACAUUGCCAGGAGGUCUUCACUCUUCUAGAAGGGCAUCAUUUGUUA
This is a long non-coding RNA of Homo sapiens (human), 1585 nucleotides long. RefSeq lists it as uncharacterized. The record is from RefSeq and is a predicted model, not a curated record. NCBI's taxonomy places the organism in Eukaryota, Metazoa, Chordata, Mammalia, Primates, Hominidae. The transcript is spliced from 4 exons.